CAGUGUAAUGCUGCUGUAAGUAACUUUACACAAAUGAGUAGUAAUAAUAUUAUAUAAUUCUUCAAGGUGUUAUGCUUCUGAUUUACAUCAUCAUGUAGAACCUACAACUACUUUGCUGAUCAUCAGAUUUGAAAAAGUUGAAUGGACAGGAAGUAACGAUGUGUUUACAAAAUGGAGCUCUAAAGGUCCAAAAAAUAUUGAAUGUCCAGCAUGUGAUCAACUAGCCAAAGGAUAUGUAGAUGGAUGGGAAUUUUUCUGGCUCUCAAAUGCAUCCAGAACUGAAAAUGUUUAAUAUAAUAGAUGGUUUCUUUAGAGAACAUUCAACGCUGUCGGUGAGUUUGAUAUCCGCUGAAACCAUCGACCGUUGACUGUACCCUACAACAACCAUUCCCCAUCCUUGUAGGCGUUUCAUUAACUUAUCCUUUUUCUUUGGAAACCAUUAGUGCAUAUGAUGGUAAAUACACAGUUUAGGAAGACUGUUCUGGCAAAGGUCACAAUCAACAUUCAUUGCUGUCGGUGGGUUGAAUUAUAUGGAAAAGCUCACUGAACAAUGAAUGCCACUGUGGCCCCAAUCAUGACAUUAGAAUUCAACGUGAAAUUAAAAAUUUGGUAGCUGUGGUCUGCGGCAACAAACUCCUGAAUAAAGAAGAUUGCAACAUGUUUAUUUUACUGCUGCAUCAAGUCUAAAUGUAUAUCUGUGAAGUAAAGUUAUAAAGAAAUAUGAAAUAAAAUGUUUAAUGA
Long non-coding RNA from Protopterus annectens (West African lungfish), 741 nucleotides. RefSeq lists it as uncharacterized. The record is from RefSeq and is a predicted model, not a curated record. The transcript is spliced from 4 exons. Lineage: Eukaryota; Metazoa; Chordata; Ceratodontiformes; Protopteridae.